GACGAACGCUGGCGGCGUGCUUAACACAUGCAAGUCGAACGGAAAGGCCUGCUUUCCCUUGUGGAUUGCGGGUACUCGAGUGGCGAACGGGUGAGUAACACGUGAGUGAUCUGCCCCCAACUUGGGUAUAAGCCUGGGAAACUGGGUCUAAUUCCCGAUAGGACUGCAGGGUGGUGCCUGUGGUGGAAAACGAUUUUCUAGUGGUUGGGGAUGAGCUCGCAGCCUAUCAGCUUGUUGGUGGGGUAAUGGCCUACCAAGGCGGCGACGGGUAGCCGGCCUGAGAGGGUGGACGGCCACAUUGGGACUGAGAUACGGCCCAGACUCCUACGGGAGGCAGCAGUGGGGAAUAUUGCACAAGGGGCGGAAGCCUGAUGCAGCGACGCCGCGUGGGGGAUGACGGCCUUCGGGUUGUAAACUCCUUUCGACCGCGAGGAAGCCACCUGGUUGGAAGGGUGGUGACGGUAGUGGUAGAAGAAGCACCGGCUAACUACGUG
This 494-nucleotide ribosomal RNA is filed under the name uncultured bacterium. RNAcentral describes it as "partial 16S ribosomal RNA". It matches the Rfam family "Bacterial small subunit ribosomal RNA", at positions 28 to 507 of the family's 1533-position model. The record is from RNAcentral.